This 497-nucleotide ribosomal RNA is filed under the name uncultured bacterium. RNAcentral describes it as "partial 16S ribosomal RNA". It matches the Rfam family "Bacterial small subunit ribosomal RNA", at positions 28 to 507 of the family's 1533-position model. The record is from RNAcentral.
GAUGAACGCUGGCGGCGUGCCUAAUACAUGCAGGUCGAGCGAACAGAUAAGGAGCUUGCUCCUUUGAAGUUAGCGGCGGACGGGUGAGUAACACGUGGGUAACCUACCUAUAAGACUGGGAUAACUUCGGGAAACCGGAGCUAGUACCGGAUAACAUUUAGAACCGCAUGGUUCUAAAGUGAAAGAUGGUUUUGCUAUCACUUAUAGAUGGACCCGCGCCGUAUUAGCUAGUUGGUAAGGUAACGGCUUACCAAGGCGACGAUACGUAGCCGACCUGAGAGGGUGAUCGGCCACACUGGAACUGAGACACGGUCCAGACUCCUACGGGAGGCAGCAGUAGGGAAUCUUCCGCAAUGGGCGAAAGCCUGACGGAGCAACGCCGCGUGAGUGAUGAAGGGUUUCGGCUCGUAAAACUCUGUUAUUAGGGAAGAACAAAUGUGUAAGUAACUGUGCACAUCUUGACGGUACCUAAUCAGAAAGCCACGGCUAACUACGUG